UUAAGUUCAGCGGGUAUCCCUACCUUAUCCGAGGUCAACCUAAGAUGUGCGCGCAAAGGCGCGGGUUUGACAGCCGCCUGAGGCCGGUGCCUGGCGAGUUAAUUUCUACUACGCUAGAACGCCGUUCUCUCAGCCGCUGAUAACUUUGAGGCCCGCCCGCGUGGGGACAGAGGCCCAAUACCAAGCAGAGCUUGACGGUU
This 200-nucleotide unclassified non-coding RNA is filed under the name Dothideomycetes sp. Its description in RNAcentral is "partial internal transcribed spacer 2". Lineage: Eukaryota; Fungi; Ascomycota; Dothideomycetes. The record is from RNAcentral.